AUAUCGUGGAGGUAUGCUUUACACAUGCAAGUCGAACGAAAGCUUUAGCUUUAGUGGCGAACGGGUGAGUAACACGUAAGAAUCUACCUUUAGGAGGGAAAUAACAAUUGGAAACAUUUGCUAAUAUCCCAUAAGCUGAAAAGUAAAAUAUUUUUUGCCUAAAGAUGAGCUUGCGCCUGAUUAGCUAGUUGGUGAGGUAAUGGCUUACCAAGGCCACGAUCAGUAGCUGGUUUGAGAGGAUGAUCAGCCACAUUGGAACUGAGACACGGUCCAGACUUUUACGGAAGGCAGCAGUGGGGAAUUUUCCGCAAUGGGCGCAAGCCUGACGGAGCAAUACCGCGUGAAGGAUGAAUGCCUGUGGGUUGUAAACUUCUUUUAUUAGGGAAGAAAAAAAUGACGGUACCUAAUGAAUAAGCAUCGGCUAACUCCGUGCCAGCAGCCGCGGUAAUACGGGGGAUGCAAGCGUUAUCCGGAAUCAUUGGGCGUAAAGAGUCUGUAGGUUGUUUAGUAAGUCUGCUGUUAAAUGUUAGAGCUUAACUCUAAAAAAGCAGUGGAAACUACUAAACUAGAGUGUGGUAGAGGCAAAGGGAAUUCCCAGUGUAGCGGUGAGAUGCGUAGAUAUUGGGAAGAACACCAGAGCGAAAGCGCUUUGCUGGGCCAUCACUGACACUAAGAGACGAAAGCUAGGGGAGCAAAUGGGAUUAGAUACCCCAGUAGUCCUAGCCGUAAACGAUGGAUACUAGAUGUUGCGCGUAUCGAUCCGUGCAGUAUCGUAGCUAACGCGUUAAGUAUCCCGCCUGGGAAGUACGCUCGCAAGAGUGAAACUCAAAUGAUUGACGG
RNAcentral lists this ribosomal RNA (840 nucleotides) under uncultured bacterium. Its description in RNAcentral is "bacterial SSU rRNA". It matches the Rfam family "Bacterial small subunit ribosomal RNA", at positions 29 to 916 of the family's 1533-position model. The record is from RNAcentral.